Molecule: ribosomal RNA, 541 nt
Filed under: Cylindrospermopsis raciborskii S01
Lineage: Bacteria; Bacillati; Cyanobacteriota; Cyanophyceae; Nostocales; Aphanizomenonaceae
Also listed under: 8 other names
Description: bacterial SSU rRNA
Rfam family: Bacterial small subunit ribosomal RNA
Source: RNAcentral
CCGGUGAAAGCUGGGAGUGCCUUAGGGAGCGCAGAGACAGGUGGUGCAUGGCUGUCGUCAGCUCGUGUCGUGAGAUGUUGGGUUAAGUCCCGCAACGAGCGCAACCCUCGUUUUUAGUUGCCAGCAUUAAGUUGGGCACUCUAGAGAGACUGCCGGUGACAAACCGGAGGAAGGUGAGGAUGACGUCAAGUCAGCAUGCCCCUUACGUCUUGGGCUACACACGUACUACAAUGCUACGGACAGAGGGCAGCAAGCCAGGGAUGGCAAGCGAAUCCAGAAACCGUAGCUCAGUUCAGAUCGAAGGCUGCAACUCGCCUUCGUGAAGGAGGAAUCGCUAGUAAUUGCAGGUCAGCAUACUGCAGUGAAUUCGUUCCCGGGCCUUGUACACACCGCCCGUCACACCAUGGAAGUUGGUCACGCCCGAAGUCAUUACCCCAACCGAAAGGAGGGGGAUGCCUAAGGUAGGACUGGUGACUGGGGUGAAGUCGUAACAAGGUAGCCGUACCGGAAGGUGUGGCUGGAUCACCUCCUUUUAGGGAGA